This 450-nucleotide ribosomal RNA is filed under the name Mycosarcoma maydis (corn smut). RNAcentral describes it as "SSU rRNA". It matches the Rfam family "Eukaryotic small subunit ribosomal RNA", at positions 1337 to 1800 of the family's 1831-position model. Lineage: Eukaryota; Fungi; Basidiomycota; Ustilaginomycetes; Ustilaginales. The record is from RNAcentral.
GAGACCUUGACCUGCUAAAUAGACGGGUUGACAUUUUGUUGGCCCCUUAUGUCUUCUUAGAGGGACAAUCGACCGUCUAGGUGAUGGAGGCAAAAGGCAAUAACAGGUCUGUGAUGCCCUUAGAUGUUCCGGGCUGCACGCGCGCUACACUGACAGAGACAACGAGUGGAGCCCCUUGUCCGAAAUGACUGGGUAAACUUGUGAAACUUUGUCGUGCUGGGGAUGGAGCUUUGUAAUUUUUGCUCUUCAACGAGGAAUUCCUAGUAAGCGCAAGUCAUCAGCUUGCGUUGACUACGUCCCUGCCCUUUGUACACACCGCCCGUCGCUACUACCGAUUGAAUGGCUUAGUGAGGACUUGGGAGAGUACAUCGGGGAGCCAGCAAUGGCACCCUGACGGCUCAAACUCUUACAAACUUGGUCAUUUAGAGGAAGUAAAAGUCGUAACAAGGU